UUUGAAAGGGGAAACGAUUGAAGCCAGUCCUACCUUCGGGUAAUCAGCCUUUCGAGUGCGAUUCUGUGGAGUGUGAGGAGCUAAACACCUUCAUGCCUGCAUAUUUGUGCUCUUGGGUGUAUUUGCCCGUGUGGUAGGUUAACAUCAAUUUUGGUUGUCAUAAAAUGGCCGGAGGAAUGUAGCUUCGAUCUCGUAUUGAAGUGUUAUAGACUUCGGUAGAUGUGACGAUCGAGAUUGAGGAUUGCAACGGAUACCCUUCGGGGCUACCCGCCUGGUCUCUGAUUGUUGCUCUGGUGCCGAAAGCGUGCUUACAGUUAUCAAAGUCGAUGGUCAAAAGGUUAGAACGGGUUAAAUUCGUUAAGGAUUGACGUAA
RNAcentral lists this ribosomal RNA (373 nucleotides) under uncultured Glomeromycotina. RNAcentral's name for it is "LSU rRNA". The record is from RNAcentral. Lineage: Eukaryota; Fungi; Glomeromycota.